RNAcentral lists this signal recognition particle RNA (98 nucleotides) under Aquificota bacterium. Its description in RNAcentral is "Aquificae bacterium (hydrothermal vent metagenome) signal recognition particle sRNA small type". It matches the Rfam family "Bacterial small signal recognition particle RNA". Rfam says of the family: The signal recognition particle (SRP) is a universally conserved ribonucleoprotein involved in the co-translational targeting of proteins to membranes. Archaeal SRP consists of a 7S RNA and homologues of the eukaryotic SRP19 and SRP54 proteins. In most bacteria, the SRP consists of a 4.5S RNA and the Ffh protein (a homologue of the eukaryotic SRP54 protein). Lineage: Bacteria; Pseudomonadati; Aquificota. The record is from RNAcentral.
CUGUGGGUGCCUCCGAAUAGGAGCUGGUGAACCCCGCCAGGCCCGGAAGGGAGCAACGGUAAGCCAGUUAUCCUAUGUCGGAGGUUUACCCACUUUUA